RNAcentral lists this transfer RNA (70 nucleotides) under Marmota monax (woodchuck). RNAcentral's name for it is "tRNA.Gly". The stretch from base 6 to 66 matches the Rfam family "tRNA", at positions 6 to 65 of the family's 71-position model. Rfam says of the family: Transfer RNA (tRNA) molecules are approximately 80 nucleotides in length. Lineage: Eukaryota; Metazoa; Chordata; Mammalia; Rodentia; Sciuridae. The record is from RNAcentral.
UGGGAUGUAGCUCAGUGGUAGAAUACUUGCCUACCAUGCAUGAAACCCUGGGUUUGAUCCCCAGCACUAA